UACGAAGGGGGCUAGCGUUGCUCGGAAUCACUGGGCGUAAAGCGCACGUAGGCGGCUUUCUAAGUCAGGGGUGAAAUCCUGGAGCUCAACUCCAGAACUGCCUUUGAUACUGGAGAGCUUGAGUCCGGAAGAGGUGAGUGGAACUCCGAGUGUAGAGGUGAAAUUCGUAGAUAUUCGCAAGAACACCAGUGGCGAAGGCGGCUCACUGGCCCGAUACUGACGCUGAGCCACGAAAGCGUGGGGAGCAAACAGG
This 253-nucleotide ribosomal RNA is filed under the name uncultured bacterium. RNAcentral's name for it is "partial 16S ribosomal RNA". It matches the Rfam family "Bacterial small subunit ribosomal RNA", at positions 524 to 776 of the family's 1533-position model. The record is from RNAcentral.